UGAGGAAUAUUGGGCAAUGCCCGCAAGGGUGACCCAGCAACGCCGCGUGGAGGAUGAAUGUCGUAAGAUUGUAAACUCCUGUUAGAGGGGAAGAAUAGUACCGGUUGGACCGGUAUAUGACUGUACCCUCAGAGAAAGCCCCGGCUAACUACGUGCCAGCAGCCGCGGUAAUACGUAGGGGGCAAGCGUUGUCCGGAUUUACUGGGUGUAAAGGGCGCGCAGGCGGGAUAAAAAGUCAGUGGUGAAAUCCUACAGCUUAACUGUAGAAAUGCCUUUGAUACUUUUAGUCUUGAGUUCGGGAGAGAGAGACGGAAUUCCAGGUGUAGUGGUGAAAUACGUAGAGAUCUGGAAGAACACCAGUUGCGAAGGCGGUCUCUUGGUCCGAUACUGACGCUGAGGCGCGAAAGCGUGGGGAGCAAACA
RNAcentral lists this ribosomal RNA (422 nucleotides) under uncultured bacterium. Its description in RNAcentral is "bacterial SSU rRNA". It matches the Rfam family "Bacterial small subunit ribosomal RNA", at positions 355 to 774 of the family's 1533-position model. The record is from RNAcentral.